Molecule: long non-coding RNA, 298 nt
Filed under: Homo sapiens (human)
Lineage: Eukaryota; Metazoa; Chordata; Mammalia; Primates; Hominidae
Description: HSALNT0312649
Source: RNAcentral
GGGUAGUACUAGCUACUCAUGUCUCCCCCAGAAACCCAAGCUAGGCAUGGACAUACUGAAAAGAAUGUCAAUACCAUUAAAAAACUCUAGAAAAAUUAUAUGUGAUGACUGAGGUUAAUUCAGUCUGUCAAUUACAUCAAUAUAAUUCCCUUCUUGUAACACUAAAUAUGGUGAAACAGAAUUGAAUUCUACAAAAGUAUUUCAUCUGUUUUCCUAUGGAAUAAUUAACAAACCAAAUAAAUGUAUAAAUAGUAUGAAGUCCAAUUUAUCUUAGAUUUUUACCUCUUAAUUUCAAAGC